RNAcentral lists this non-coding RNA (90 nucleotides) under uncultured Clostridium sp. Its description in RNAcentral is "Purine riboswitch". The stretch from base 12 to 90 matches the Rfam family "Purine riboswitch aptamer", at positions 18 to 96 of the family's 102-position model. Rfam says of the family: Riboswitches are metabolite binding domains within certain messenger RNAs that serve as precision sensors for their corresponding targets. Allosteric rearrangement of mRNA structure is mediated by ligand binding, and this results in modulation of gene expression. The record is from RNAcentral. Lineage: Bacteria; Bacillati; Bacillota; Clostridia; Eubacteriales; Clostridiaceae.
UAUUGACAUACAGCUUGUAUAUACCUUGUGAUAUGGACAGGGAGUUUCUAGCCGCUAACCGUAAAAGAGCGGACUACAAGCAAACAAUUA